UUUAUAGAUUUUUGAAUAUAGAGAUGCAGCAUCCUAUUUAUGAGAUUUGGGAGGCUCUUAUGUUGUAAUCUCACAUCAGACCGUCCUGAAACGAUGCAUCUGACAUUGUGGUAAGGUGUACUCUCAAUCUGAGCUGAAAGGGGCCUGUGCAAUGUAUAACUUUAAUUUUUAUAGAUUUUUUUAUAUAGAGAUGUAGCAUCUCAUUUAUUAUAUUUGGGGGGCUCUUAUCUUGUAAUUACACAUCAGACUGUCCUGAAACGAUGCAGCUGACAUUGUGGCAAGGUGUACUCUCAAGCUGAGGUGAAAGUUUCCUGUGCAAUCCAUAACUUUUUUAAAUAUAUAAUUUUGAAAGUAGAGAUGAAGCAGCUUGUUUAUGAGAUUUGGGAGGCUCUUAUUUUGUAAUUCCACAUCAGACCGUCCUGAAACGAUGCAGCUGACAUUGUGGCAAGGUGUACUCUCAAUCUGAGGUGAAAGUGGCCUGUGCAAUCUAUAACUUAGAUUUUUAUAGAUUUUUGAAAAUAGAGAUGCAGCAUCCCAUUUAUGAGAUUUGGGAGGCUCUUAUUUUGUAAUUCCACAUCAGACCGUCCUGAAACGAUGCAUCUGACAUCGUGGCAAGGUGUACUCUCAAUCUGAGGUGAAAGUGGCCUGUGCAAUCUAUAACUUUUUUAAAUAUAUAAUUUUGAAAGUAGAGAUGAAGCAGCUUGUUUAUGAGAUUUGGGAGGCUCUUACUUUGUAAUUCCACAUCAGACUGUCCUGAAACGAUGCAUCUGACAUCGUGGCAAGGUGUACUCUCAAUCUGAGGUGAAAGUGGCCUGUGCAAUCUAUAACUUUAAUUUUUAUAGAUUUUUUAAAGUAGAUGCAGCAGCAUGCAGCUGACACUGUACUUUCUGUCUGUGCAUUCUAGAACUUUUAUUUGUAUAGCUUUUCGAAUGUAGAGAUGCAACAAGCAUAUAUUAUUGUUCUUAUUUUGUAA
Molecule: long non-coding RNA, 973 nt
Organism: Carassius gibelio (silver crucian carp)
Lineage: Eukaryota; Metazoa; Chordata; Actinopteri; Cypriniformes; Cyprinidae
Exons: 3
Source: RefSeq, a predicted model, not a curated record